Molecule: ribosomal RNA, 305 nt
Filed under: uncultured bacterium
Lineage: Bacteria
Description: bacterial SSU rRNA
Rfam family: Bacterial small subunit ribosomal RNA
Source: RNAcentral
UUCCGCCUACGGGGCGCAGCAGUGGGGGAUAUUGCACAAUGGGGGGAACCCUGAUGCAGCGACGCCGCGUGGGUGAAGAAGCGCCUCGGCGCGUAAAGCCCUGUCAGCAGGGAAGAAAAUGACGGUACCUGAAGAAGAAGCCACGGCUAACUACGUGCCAGCAGCCGCGGUAAUACGUAGGUGGCGAGCGUUGUCCGGAAUUACUGGGUGUAAAGGGAGCGUAGGCGGGAGAGCAAGUCGACUGUGAAAUCUAUGGGCUUAACCCAUAGCUGCGAUCGAAACUGUUCAUAUUGCGUGAAGUAGAG